This 1475-nucleotide ribosomal RNA is filed under the name Candidatus Pelagibacter sp. RNAcentral's name for it is "bacterial SSU rRNA". It matches the Rfam family "Bacterial small subunit ribosomal RNA". Lineage: Bacteria; Pseudomonadati; Pseudomonadota; Alphaproteobacteria; Candidatus Pelagibacterales; Candidatus Pelagibacteraceae. The record is from RNAcentral.
AAACUUGAGAGUUUGAUCAUGGCUCAGAACGUACGCUGGCGGCACGCCUAACACAUGCAAGUCGAACGAAGUAGCAAUACUUAGUGGCAGACGGGUGAGUAACAUGUGGGUAUCUGCCCUUUGGCCUGGAAUAACACGAGGAAACUUGUGCUAAUACCGGAUAAGUCUUUACAGAGAAAGCUUUAUGCACCAUUGGAUGAGCCCGCACUUGAUUAGUUUGUUGGUAGGGUAAUGGCCUACCAAGACUGUGAUCAAUAGCUGAUUUGAGAGGAUGAUCAGCCACAUUGGGACUGAGACACGGCCCAAACUCCUACGGGAGGCAGCAGUGGGGAAUCUUGCACAAUGGAGGAAACUCUGAUGCAGCGAUGCCGCGUGAGUGAAGAAGGCCUUUGGGUUGUAAAGCUCUUUCGUCGGGGAAGAAAAUGACUGUACCCGAAUAAGAAGGUCCGGCUAACUUCGUGCCAGCAGCCGCGGUAAUACGAAGGGACCUAGCGUAGUUCGGAAUUACUGGGCUUAAAGAGUUCGUAGGUGGUUGAAAAAGUUGGUGGUGAAAUCCCAGAGCUUAACUCUGGAACUGCCAUCAAAACUUUUCAGCUAGAGUUUGAUAGAGGAAAGCAGAAUUUCUAGUGUAGAGGUGAAAUUCGUAGAUAUUAGAAAGAAUACCAAUUGCGAAGGCAGCUUUCUGGAUCAUUACUGACACUGAGGAACGAAAGCAUGGGUAGCGAAGAGGAUUAGAUACCCUCGUAGUCCAUGCCGUAAACGAUGUGUGUUAGACGUUGGAAAUUUAUUUUCAGUGUCGCAGCGAAAGCGAUAAACACACCGCCUGGGGAGUACGACCGCAAGGUUAAAACUCAAAUGAAUUGACGGGGACCCGCACAAGUAGUGGAGCAUGUGGUUUAAUUCGAAGAUACGCGCAGAACCUUACCAACACUUGACAUGUUCGUCGCGACUUUAAGAGAUUAAAGUUUUCGGUUCGGCCGGACGAAACACAGGUGCUGCAUGGCUGUCGUCAGCUCGUGUCGUGAGAUGUUGGGUUAAGUCCCGCAACGAGCGCAACCCUCACUUUUAGUUGCCAUCAUUAAGUUGGGCACUCUGAAAGAACUGCCAGUGAUAAGCUGGAGGAAGGUGGGGAUGACGUCAAGUCCUCAUGGCCCUUACGUGUUGGGCUACACACGUGCUACAAUGGUAUCUACAACAGGAAGCAAAACAGCGAUGUUAAGCAAAUCCUUAAAAGAUACCUCAGUUCGGAUUGCACUCUGCAACUCGAGUGCAUGAAGCUGGAAUUACUAGUAAUCGUGGAUCAGCGUGCCACGGUGAAUGCGUUCCCGGGUCUUGUACACACCGCCCGUCACACCAUGGGAGUUGGUUCUACCUUAAGGCAAGGUUUUAAACCCUUGACCACGGUAUAGUCAGCGACUGGGGUGAAGUCGUAACAAGGUAGCCGUAGGGGAACCUGCGGCUGGAUUACCUCCUUU